CCUACGGGUGGCAGCAGUGGGGAAUAUUGCACAAUGGGGGAAACCCUGAUGCAGCAACGCCGCGUGAGUGAGGAAGUAUUUCGGUAUGUAAAGCUCUAUCAGCAGGGAAUAGAAAAGAAGGUACCUGAAAAAGAAGCCCCGGCUAACUACGUGCCAGCAGCCGCGGUAAUACGUAGGGGGCAAGCGUUAUCCGGAUUUAUUGGGUUUAAAGGGUGCGUAGGCGGGAAGCCAAGUCAGCUGUGAAAACUACGGGCUUAACUUGUAGACUGCAGUUGAAACUGGUUUUCUUGAGUGAAGUAGAGGUUGGCGGAAUUCCGAGUGUAGCGGUGAAAUGCGUAGAUAUUCGGAGGAACACCGGUGGCGAAGGCGGCCAACUGGGCUUUAACUGACGCUGAGGCUCGAAAGUGUGGGGAGCAAACAGGAUUAGAUACCCCUGUAGUC
Molecule: ribosomal RNA, 441 nt
Filed under: uncultured bacterium
Lineage: Bacteria
Description: partial 16S ribosomal RNA
Rfam family: Bacterial small subunit ribosomal RNA
Source: RNAcentral